This is a non-coding RNA of Mycena epipterygia, 91 nucleotides long. NCBI's taxonomy places the organism in Eukaryota, Fungi, Basidiomycota, Agaricomycetes, Agaricales, Mycenaceae. The record is from the annotation of a GenBank genome assembly.
GGCUCGGUGGUGGAUGAUCCACACCUGCAUUCCUUGAUUCAUUUCAUUUGUGGUUACGCAGGAGGAGCCCGUUCGAUUCGGGCCUGAGCCA